Molecule: ribosomal RNA, 245 nt
Filed under: uncultured bacterium
Lineage: Bacteria
Description: partial 16S ribosomal RNA
Rfam family: Bacterial small subunit ribosomal RNA
Source: RNAcentral
UACGUAGGCAGCAAGCGUUGUUCGGAAUUACUGGGCGUAAAGAGUGCGUAGGUGGUGUUCCAAGUCUGGUGUGAAAUCUCCCGGCUCAACUGGGAGGGUGCGCCGGAAACUGGAAUGCUUGAGGGUGGGAGAGGUAAGCGGAAUUCCUGGUGUAGCGGUGAAAUGCGUAGAUAUCAGGAGGAACACCUGUGGUGUAGACAGCUUACUGGACCAUUUCUGACACUGAGGCACGAAAGCGUGGGUAG